GAGUUUGAUCCUGGCUCAGGACGAACGCUGGCGGCGCGCCUAACACAUGCAAGUCGAACGGAGUUAUUUUCUUCACUCCGAGCUUUUUGCCAGUUAGCCGGAGCGGCAAUCGGUUUUGCCCAGCAUAAAAAGCAAAACCGAUUUAGGCUCAUAAAGUAAGGCUAACACAGAGGGCAGAGAGUUGGGAGUGAAGAAAAUAACUUAGUGGCGAACGGGUGAGUAACGCGUGAGUAACCUGCCCUGGAGUGGGGGACAACAGUUGGAAACGACUGCUAAUACCGCAUAAGCCCACGAUCCGGCAUCGGAUUGAGGGAAAAGGAUUUAUUCGCUUCAGGAUGGACUCGCGUCCAAUUAGCUAGUUGGUGAGGUAACGGCCCACCAAGGCGACGAUUGGUAGCCGGACUGAGAGGUUGAACGGCCACAUUGGGACUGAGACACGGCCCAGACUCCUACGGGAGGCAGCAGUGGGGGAUAUUGCACAAUGGGGGAAACCCUGAUGCAGCGACGCCGCGUGGAGGAAGAAGGUUUUCGGAUUGUAAACUCCUGUCGUUAGGGACGAUAAUGACGGUACCUAACAAGAAAGCACCGGCUAACUACGUGCCAGCCGCCGCGGUAAUUC
This 619-nucleotide ribosomal RNA is filed under the name uncultured bacterium. RNAcentral describes it as "bacterial SSU rRNA". It matches the Rfam family "Bacterial small subunit ribosomal RNA", at positions 9 to 526 of the family's 1533-position model. The record is from RNAcentral.